GUAAACAAGGAUUGUAUAAAUAAUUGAAAUCGAUAGAAAAUUCCCAAAACUGAUUCGGAGUCUACAUAUAGUUACAUAUAAGGAC
RNAcentral lists this long non-coding RNA (85 nucleotides) under Monodelphis domestica (gray short-tailed opossum). RNAcentral describes it as "lncRNA (ENSMODG00000033822.2)". Lineage: Eukaryota; Metazoa; Chordata; Mammalia; Didelphimorphia; Didelphidae. The record is from RNAcentral.